AUAAACCCGGGAAACUGGGUAUAAUACCCGAUAGAUCUCGGCUGCUGGAAUGCAUCGAGCUCUAAAGCUCCGGCGCCUGAGGAUGGGUCUGCGGCCUAUCAGGUAGUAGUGGGUGUAGCGUACCUACUAGCCUACGACGGGUACGGGUUGUGAGAGCAAGAGCCCGGAGAUGGAUUCUGAGACACGAAUCCAGGCCCUACGGGGUGCAGCAGGCGCGAAAACUUUACAAUGCCGGCAACGGCGAUAAGGGGACCUCGAGUGCCAGGUUACAAAUCUGGCUGUCGUGAUGCCUAAAAAGCAUUGCAUAGCAAGGGCCGGGCAAGACCGGUGCCAGCCGCCGCGGUAACACCGGCGGCUCGAGUGGUAACCGUUAUUAUUGGGUCUAAAGGGUCUGUAGCCGGCCGGAUAAGUCUCUUGGGAAAUCCAGCAGCUUAACUGUUGGGCUUUCAGGAGAUACUGUCUGGCUCGAGGCCGGGAGAGGUGAGAGGUACUUCAGGGGUAGGGGUGAAAUCUUGUAAUCCUUGAAGGACCACCAGUGCCGAAGGCGUCUCACCAGAACGGACCUGACGGCAAGGGACGAAAGCUAGGGGCACGAACCGGUUGGAUACCCGGGUAGUCCUACGCCGUAAACGAUACUCGCUAGGUGUCGGCCACGGUGCGACCGUUGUCGGUGCCGUGAGGGAAGCCGUGAAACGAGCCACGUGGGAAGU
RNAcentral lists this ribosomal RNA (710 nucleotides) under uncultured Methanosaeta sp. RNAcentral's name for it is "bacterial SSU rRNA". It matches the Rfam family "Archaeal small subunit ribosomal RNA", at positions 126 to 836 of the family's 1478-position model. The record is from RNAcentral. Lineage: Archaea; Methanobacteriati; Methanobacteriota; Methanomicrobia; Methanotrichales; Methanotrichaceae.